GUACAAUGGGUCGCCACCACGCGAGUGGGCGCAAAUCCAUAAAACCAUUCUCAGUUCGGAUCGGAGUCUGCAACUCGACUCCGUGAAGUUGGAAUCGCUAGUAAUCGCGUAUCAGCAAUGACGCGGUGAAUACGUUCCCGGGCCUUGUACACACCGCCCGUCAAGCGAUGGAAGUCAGAAGUACCUGAUGUCGGCGUGCUAACCUUCGGGAGGCAGCUGCCUAGGGUAAGUCUGGUAACUGGCGCUAAGUCGUAACAAGGUAGCCGUACCGGAAGGUGCGGCUGGAUCACCUCCUUU
RNAcentral lists this ribosomal RNA (297 nucleotides) under Rhodothermales bacterium. RNAcentral's name for it is "partial 16S ribosomal RNA". It matches the Rfam family "Bacterial small subunit ribosomal RNA", at positions 1237 to 1533 of the family's 1533-position model. Lineage: Bacteria; Pseudomonadati; Rhodothermota; Rhodothermia; Rhodothermales. The record is from RNAcentral.